UACCAGCACCCCGAGUGGUCGGGACGUUUAUUGGGCCUAAAGCAUCCGUAGCCGGUUCUACAAGUCUUCCGUUAAAUCCACCUGCUUAACAGAUGGGCUGCGGAAGAUACUAUGGAGCUAGGAGGCGGGAGAGGCAAGCGGUACUCGAUGGGUAGGGGUAAAAUCCGUUGAUCCAUUGAAGACCACCAGUGGCGAAGGCGGCUUGCCAGAACGCGCUCGACGGUGAGGGAUGAAAGCUGGGGAGCAAGCCGG
RNAcentral lists this ribosomal RNA (252 nucleotides) under uncultured bacterium. RNAcentral's name for it is "partial 16S ribosomal RNA". It matches the Rfam family "Archaeal small subunit ribosomal RNA", at positions 474 to 727 of the family's 1478-position model. The record is from RNAcentral.